CUGCGAGUUCGCGGGAGAGUAAGUUAUUGCCAGGGUUUUUGUUUUAUACUUUAAACAUUGAUUUUAUUUUUUAUGUUUUUAGAUGUUCAUGUUUUUGAAUGUUUUAUUCAAAUAAUAUAAAAAAUAAAAUAUAUAUUGACAUGGAUUAAACAAAGAUAUAUAUUAUUCUAUGUUGUAUAAACAAAUUGGCAAAAUAGAGAUGGAAGAUAAAAAUAUGGUCAAAGUAAUAAGAGUCUAUGGUGAAUGCCUAGGA
RNAcentral lists this unclassified non-coding RNA (253 nucleotides) under Borreliella garinii. Its description in RNAcentral is "partial 5S-23S ribosomal RNA intergenic spacer". The record is from RNAcentral. Lineage: Bacteria; Pseudomonadati; Spirochaetota; Spirochaetia; Spirochaetales; Borreliaceae.